AACGAACGCUGGCGGCAUGCCCAACACAUGCAAGUCGAACGAUUGCCUUCGGGUGAUAGUGGCGCACGGGUGCGUAACGCGUGGGAAUCUGCCCUUAGGUUCGGAAUAACAGCUGGAAACGGCUGCUAAUACCGGAUGAUAUCGCGAGAUCAAAGAUUUAUCGCCUGAGGAUGAGCCCGCGUUGGAUUAGGUAGUUGGUGGGGUAAAGGCCUACCAAGCCGACGAUCCAUAGCUGGUCUGAGAGGAUGAUCAGCCACACUGGGACUGAGACACGGCCCAGACUCCUACGGGAGGCAGCAGUGGGGAAUAUUGGACAAUGGGCGCAAGCCUGAUCCAGCAAUGCCGCGUGAGUGAUGAAGGCCCUAGGGUUGUAAAGCUCUUUUACCCGGGAAGAUAAUGACUGUACCGGGAGAAUAAGCCCCGGCUAACUCCGUG
Molecule: ribosomal RNA, 435 nt
Filed under: uncultured bacterium
Lineage: Bacteria
Description: partial 16S ribosomal RNA
Rfam family: Bacterial small subunit ribosomal RNA
Source: RNAcentral